UACGUAGGUCCCCGAGCGUUGCCCGGAUUUAUUGGGCGUAAAGCGAGCGCAGGCGGUUAGAUAAGUCUGAAGUUAAAGGCUGUGGCUUAACCAUAGUAUGCUUUGGAAACUGUUUAACUUGAGUGCAGAAGGGGAGAGUGGAAUUCCAUGUGUAGCGGUGGAAUGCGUAGAUAUAUGGAGGAACACCGGUGGCGAAAGCGGCUCCCUGGUCUGUAACUGACGCUGAGGCUCGAAAGCGUGGGGAGCAAACAGGAUUAGAAACCCGGGUAGU
Molecule: ribosomal RNA, 271 nt
Filed under: uncultured bacterium
Lineage: Bacteria
Description: partial 16S ribosomal RNA
Rfam family: Bacterial small subunit ribosomal RNA
Source: RNAcentral